RNAcentral lists this ribosomal RNA (465 nucleotides) under uncultured bacterium. RNAcentral describes it as "partial 16S ribosomal RNA". It matches the Rfam family "Bacterial small subunit ribosomal RNA", at positions 28 to 507 of the family's 1533-position model. The record is from RNAcentral.
GACGAACGCUGGCGGCGUGCUUAACACAUGCAAGUCGAACGGAAAGGCCCCUUUGGGGGUACUCGAGUGGCGAACGGGUGAGUAACACGUGAGUAACCUGCCCUUGACUUCGGGAUAACUUCAGGAAACUGGGGCUAAUACCGGAUAGGAAUCCUUGCUGCAUGGUGGGGGUUGGAAAGCUUCGGCGGUUUUGGAUGGACUCGCGGCUUAUCAGCUUGUUGGUGGGGUAGUGGCUUACCAAGGCUUUGACGGGUAGCCGGCCUGAGAGGGCAACCGGCCACAUUGGGACUGAGAUACGGCCCAGACUCCUACGGGAGGAAGCAGUGGGGAAUAUUGCACAAUGGGCGGAAGCCUGAUGCAGCAACGCCGCGUGCGGGAUGACGGCCUUCGGGUUGUAAACCGCUUUCAGCAGGGGCGAAGCUUGUGGUGACGGUACCUGCAGAAGAAGCACCGGCUAACUACGUG